ACGGGUGAGUAACACGUGACUAACCUACCCUUGAGUGGGGGAUAACUGAGGGAAACCUUAGCUAAUACCGCAUAAUACCCACGGGUCAAAGGAGCAAUUCGCUCGAGGAGGGGGUCGCGGCCGAUUAGUUAGUUGGCGGGGUAAUGGCCCACCAAGACGAUGAUCGGUAUCCGGCCUGAGAGGGCGCACGGACACACUGGAACUGAAACACGGUCCAGACUCCUACGGGAGGCAGCAGUGGGGAAUUUUGCGCAAUGGGGAAAACCCUGACGCAGCAACGCCGCGUGGAGGAUGAAGUCCUUCGGGACGUAAACUCCUUUCGAUCGGGACGAUUAUGACGGUACCGGAAGAAGAAGCCCCGGCUAACUUCGUGCCAGCAGCCGCGG
RNAcentral lists this ribosomal RNA (386 nucleotides) under uncultured bacterium. RNAcentral's name for it is "bacterial SSU rRNA". It matches the Rfam family "Bacterial small subunit ribosomal RNA", at positions 102 to 520 of the family's 1533-position model. The record is from RNAcentral.